This 687-nucleotide long non-coding RNA is filed under the name Hordeum vulgare. RNAcentral's name for it is "long non-coding RNA (HVUL_LNC004718)". The record is from RNAcentral. Lineage: Eukaryota; Viridiplantae; Streptophyta; Magnoliopsida; Poales; Poaceae.
AUAUCCUCCUGGAGAUCCCAGCAAGCGUGCCUUUGCCUACUUUGUUCUCAGUGGUGGGAGAUUCGUAUAUGCAUCACUGCUGCGUCUCCUUGUCUUGAAGUUUGUCUUGAGCAUGUCAGCAAGUAAGGAUGUGCUUGCACUUGCUUCCCUUGAGGUUGAUCUAUCCAGCAUUGAACCUGGCAGCACAGUGACUGUCAAGUGGCGUGGAAAGCCAGUCUUCAUCAGGCGACGGACAGACGAUGACAUCAAGCUGGCCAACAGCGUGGAUGUUGCAUCCCUGCGCCACCCAGAGCAAGACGCUGAGCGUGUGAAGAACCCAGAGUGGCUGGUGGUUAUUGGUGUCUGCACUCAUCUUGGUUGCAUCCCCCUUCCCAACUCUGGAGACUUUGGUGGUUGGUUCUGCCCGUGCCAUGGCUCCCACUACGACAUCUCUGGCAGAAUCCGCAAGGGCCCUGCCCCGUACAACCUUGAGGUGCCCACCUACAGUUUCUUGGAAGAUAACAAGAUGCUCAUAGGCUAAGAGCCUAAAGACCAGUACCUACCAACAUAUAUUCUCCACAGGAGUGAAUUCCUGUUGCGCUGUUAUUUUGUUCUCAAUGUGGCUAGGAGUUUUUGUUUCAGGACUAUCACAAUGGUGAUCCACUGUUACCUACUGAAGUUCAUUUGCAGUGCGAAAUAAUUGUUUCU